RNAcentral lists this signal recognition particle RNA (299 nucleotides) under Saimiri boliviensis boliviensis (Bolivian squirrel monkey). RNAcentral's name for it is "Metazoan signal recognition particle RNA (ENSSBOG00000004585.1)". It matches the Rfam family "Metazoan signal recognition particle RNA". From Rfam's summary of the family: The signal recognition particle (SRP) is a universally conserved ribonucleoprotein. It is involved in the co-translational targeting of proteins to membranes. Lineage: Eukaryota; Metazoa; Chordata; Mammalia; Primates; Cebidae. The record is from RNAcentral.
ACCGGGCGCGGUGGCACAUGCCUGUAGUCACAGCUACUCAGGAGGCUGAGGUGGGAGGAUCACUUGAGCCCAGGAGUUCUGGGCUGUAGUGCGCUAUGCUGAUCGGAUGUCCACACUAAGUUCGGCAUCAAUAUGGUGACCUCCAGGAGUGGGGGACCACCAGGUUGCCUAAGGAGGGGUGAACCGGCCCAGGUCAGAAACGGAGCAGGUCAAAACUCCCGUGCUGAUCAGUAGUGGGAUCGCGCCUGUGAAUAGCCACUGCACUCCAGCCUGGGCAACAUAGCGAGACCCCCAUCUCU